This 427-nucleotide ribosomal RNA is filed under the name uncultured bacterium. RNAcentral describes it as "bacterial SSU rRNA". It matches the Rfam family "Bacterial small subunit ribosomal RNA", at positions 355 to 774 of the family's 1533-position model. The record is from RNAcentral.
UAGGGAAUAUUGGACAAUGGGGGCAACCCUGAUCCAGCCAUGCCGCGUGAGUGAAGAAGGCCCUCGGGUUGUAAAGCUCUUUUGUCCGGAAAGAAAAGCUUCGGGUUAAUACCCCGGGGUUCUGACGGUACCGGAAGAAUAAGCACCGGCUAACUUCGUGCCAGCAGCCGCGGUAAUACGAAGGGUGCAAGCGUUACUCAGAAUUACUGGGCGUAAAGCGUGCGUAGGUGGUUGUUUAAGUCUGAUGUGAAAGCCCUGGGCUCAACCUGGGAAUGGCAUUGGAAACUGGGCAGCUAGAGUGCGGUAGAGGGUAGUGGAAUUCCAGGUGUAGCAGUGAAAUGCGUAGAGAUCGGGAGGAACAUCUGUGGCGAAGGCGACUGCCUGGACCAGCACUGACACUGAGGCACGAAAGCGUGGGGAGCAAACA